GCCGGUCUAGCAAAGCUUGGUUUAAUGCGCCCGCCUUGAGAGCGGGUGUGUUUCGGCACACGCAGGUUCGAAUCCUGCGGCCGGCGCCA
Molecule: transfer RNA, 89 nt
Filed under: Nanobdellota archaeon
Lineage: Archaea; Nanobdellati; Nanobdellota
Description: tRNA-Ser
Rfam family: tRNA
About the family: Transfer RNA (tRNA) molecules are approximately 80 nucleotides in length. Their secondary structure includes four short double-helical elements and three loops (D, anti-codon, and T loops).
Source: RNAcentral